GGUGAUCGGCCACACUGGAACUGAGACACGGUCCAGACUCCUACGGGAGGCAGCAGUAGGGAAUCUUCCGCAAUGGGCGAAAGCCUGACGGAGCAACGCCGCGUGAGUGAUGAAGGUCUUCGGAUCGUAAAACUCUGUUAUUAGGGAAGAACAAAUGUGUAAGUAACUAUGCACGUCUUGACGGUACCUAAUCAGAAAGCCACGGCUAACUACGUGCCAGCAGCCGCGGUAAUACGUAGGCGGCAAGCGUUAUCCGGAAUUAUUGGGCGUAAAGCGCGCGUAGGCGGUUUCUUAAGUCUGAUGUGAAAGCCCACGGCUCAACCGUGGAGGGUCAUUGGAAACUGGGAAACUUGAGUGCAGAAGAGGAAAGUGGAAUUCCAUGUGUAGCGGUGAAAUGCGCAGAGAUAUGGAGGAACACCAGUGGCGAAGGCGACUUUCUGGUCUGUAACUGACGCUGAUGUGCGAAAGCGUGGGGAUCAAACAGGAUUAGAUACCCUGGUAGUCCACGCCGUAAACGAUGAGUGCUAAGUGUUAGGGGGUUUCCGCCCCUUAGUGCUGCAGCUAACGCAUUAAGCACUCCGCCUGGGGAGUACGACCGCAAGGUUGAAACUCAAAGGAAUGACGGGGACCCGCACAAGCGGUGGAGCAUGUGGUUUAAUUCGAAGCAACGCGAAGAACCUUACCAAAUCUUGACAUCCUUUGACAACUCUAGAGAUAGAGCCUUCCCCUUCGGGGGACAAAGUGACAGGUGGUGCAUGGUUGUCGUCAGCUCGUGUCGUGAGAUGUUGGGUUAAGUCCCGCAACGAGCGCAACCCUUAAACUUAGUUGCCAGCAUUUAGUUGGGCACUCUAAGUUGACUGCCGGUGACAAACCGGAGGAAGGUGGGGAUGACGUCAAAUCAUCAUGCCCCUUAUGAUUUGGGCUACACACGUGCUACAAUGGACAAUACAAAGGGCAGCUAAACCGCGAGGUCAUGCAAAUCCCAUAAAGUUGUUCUCAGUUCGGAUUGUAGUCUGCA
RNAcentral lists this ribosomal RNA (1018 nucleotides) under Staphylococcus aureus. RNAcentral's name for it is "bacterial SSU rRNA". It matches the Rfam family "Bacterial small subunit ribosomal RNA", at positions 299 to 1309 of the family's 1533-position model. Lineage: Bacteria; Bacillati; Bacillota; Bacilli; Caryophanales; Staphylococcaceae. The record is from RNAcentral.